UGUCGUCAGCUCGUGUCGUGAGAUGUUGGGUUAAGUCCCGCAACGAGCGCAACCCUUAAGCUUAGUUGCCAUCAUUAAGUUGGGCACUCUAAGUUGACUGCCGGUGACAAACCGGAGGAAGGUGGGGAUGACGUCAAAUCAUCAUGCCCCUUAUGAUUUGGGCUACACACGUGCUACAAUGGACAAUACAAAGGGCAGCGAAACCGCGAGGUCAAGCAAAUCCCAUAAAGUUGUUCUCAGUUCGGAUUGUAGUCUGCAACUCGACUACAUGAAGCUGGAAUCGCUAGUAAUCGUAGAUCAGCAUGCUACGGUGAAUACGUUCCCGGGUCUUGUACACACCGCCCGUCACACCACGAGAGUUUGUAACACCCGAAGCCGGUGGAGUAACCUUUUAGGAGCUAGCCGUCGAAGGUGGGACAAAUGAUUGGGGUGAAGUCGUAACAAGGUAGCCGUAUCGGAAGGUGCGGCU
RNAcentral lists this ribosomal RNA (469 nucleotides) under Staphylococcus aureus. RNAcentral's name for it is "bacterial SSU rRNA". It matches the Rfam family "Bacterial small subunit ribosomal RNA", at positions 1050 to 1519 of the family's 1533-position model. The record is from RNAcentral. Lineage: Bacteria; Bacillati; Bacillota; Bacilli; Caryophanales; Staphylococcaceae.